Molecule: small nucleolar RNA, 147 nt
Filed under: Jaculus jaculus (lesser Egyptian jerboa)
Lineage: Eukaryota; Metazoa; Chordata; Mammalia; Rodentia; Dipodidae
Description: Small nucleolar RNA SNORA44 (ENSJJAG00000007193.1)
Rfam family: Small nucleolar RNA SNORA44
About the family: ACA44 is a member of the H/ACA class of snoRNA that guide the sites of modification of uridines to pseudouridines.
Source: Rfam by way of RNAcentral
CAGUAUGGAAUCAAGUUUCCUGGAUAUCCAAGGCAUUGAACUUUUGGUUGGGAGUGAAUUAAAAUGAGUUUCUGCUCCAAGCCAGAAGGACUUUGACAGCUCAGGCCAGCACAGUACCUGCGGCUGCCUCUCGCCUUUCCUAUAAUG